Molecule: ribosomal RNA, 274 nt
Filed under: uncultured bacterium
Lineage: Bacteria
Description: partial 16S ribosomal RNA
Rfam family: Archaeal small subunit ribosomal RNA
Source: RNAcentral
AAAUCAGCACCUCAAGUGGUCAGGAUGAUUAUUGGGCCUAAAGCAUCCGUAGCCUGCUCUGUAAGUUUUCGGUUAAAUCUGUAUGCUCAACAUACAGGCUGCCGGGAAUACUGCAGGACUAGGGAGUGGGAGAGGUAGACGGUACUCGGGAGGAAGUGGUAAAAUGCUUUGAUCUCUCGAUGACCACCUGUGGCGAAGGCGGUCUACCAGAACACGUCCGACGGUGAGGGAUGAAAGCUGGGGGAGCAAACCGGAUUAGAAACCCCGGUAGUCC